RNAcentral lists this ribosomal RNA (396 nucleotides) under uncultured bacterium. RNAcentral describes it as "partial 16S ribosomal RNA". It matches the Rfam family "Bacterial small subunit ribosomal RNA", at positions 523 to 918 of the family's 1533-position model. The record is from RNAcentral.
AUACGUAGGGGGCGAGCGUUGUCCGGAAUGAUUGGGCGUAAAGGGCGCGUAGGCGGCCGCUUAAGUCUGGAGUGAAAGUCCUGUUUUCAAGAUGGGAAUUGCUUUGGAUACUGGGGGGCUUGAGUGCAGUAGAGGCAAGCGGAAUUCCCGGUGUAGCGGUGAAAUGCGCAGAGAUCGGGAGGAACACCAGUGGCGAAGGCGGCUUGCUGGGCUGUUACUGACGCUGAGGCACGAAAGCAUGGGUAGCAAACAGGAUUAGAUACCCUGGUAGUCCAUGCUGUAAACGAUGAUUACUAGGUGUGGGUGGACUGACCCCAUCCGUACCGGAGUUAACACAUUAAGUAAUCCACCUGGGGAGUACGGCCGCAAGGUUGAAACUCAAAGGAAUUGACGGGG